This 253-nucleotide ribosomal RNA is filed under the name uncultured bacterium. RNAcentral's name for it is "partial 16S ribosomal RNA". It matches the Rfam family "Bacterial small subunit ribosomal RNA", at positions 524 to 776 of the family's 1533-position model. The record is from RNAcentral.
UACGGGGGGGGCAAGCGUUGUUCGGAAUUACUGGGCGUAAAGGGCUCGUAGGUGGCCAACUAAGUCAGACGUGAAAUCCCUCAGCUUAACUGGGGAACUGCGUCUGAUACUGGAUGGCUUGAGUUUGGGAGAGGGAUGCGGAAUUCCAGGUGUAGCGGUGAAAUUCGUAGAUAUUGGGAAGAACACCGGUGGCGAAGGCGGCGACCUGGUCCUUGACUGACGCUGAGGCGCGAAAGCGUGGGGAGCAAACAGG